Hemicordylus capensis (graceful crag lizard) is the source of this 1949-nucleotide long non-coding RNA. RefSeq lists it as uncharacterized. The transcript has 2 exons. The record is from RefSeq and is a predicted model, not a curated record. Lineage: Eukaryota; Metazoa; Chordata; Lepidosauria; Squamata; Cordylidae.
CGCGCGCCCAGCCUGAGCGGUGUAACGUACUCUGGACUGGAGGACACAGCAACGCCCACUUCUGUAUCUGUAAUUAGAAAAGUGGUAUUAUUGUGUUUUCUGUUUACAGAAGUAGCCGUGUCGGUCUUCUGAUCGACCCCCCGCGAAUUCAUACUCGGGGAAAGCUUCCAGAGCAUAACGUCAGCCGCAGGCCGAAGGAGAAAGCCCAAAGUCUCUUCCGAGAUGGUGGAUGGCCCCCCCUCCCCCGGACUCAGUGGCCAUGUUGUCCCUGGUGCCGCAGUCCAGGCCUGGCGACUUCCCUCCCGCUCUGCCGAGCGAAGGAGUCAGCAGGACUCGGGGAGAGCGUCGUCGAGGCACACGGGGUGGAUUCGAAGCGCCCGGUUUCUAGGCGCGCUUCCUCGGAAGUUUAGAUGGGCCUGUGUGUCCUGUCGUCUCGCAUCGGCGUCCAUGGCGUCGCCUCCGUCGCCAGAGGCUGACGGCCAGCAGAGAAAUCAAACCACGGAGUUUCCAAGGAAACCCAUUUAAAACUCUUCAUAGCCGAAGUUUUGUAAAUAACCCGUUUCUAAAUAAGUAGAUAAUGAGAGUGUGAAUUCCAUAAAGUGCGCAUGUGGAGACUAAACACGUGUAGAUCGAGGGAAGACCGUUAUCCAUAUGACAUCCUAUGCUUGUGGUCUCGGAAGGCUGCAGCCCUACAUCCUUGGGAGUAGAGCUCACAGAACACAGUGACAAAUACUUCUGUGUGAAAUAUGUAUGGCUGCAAUUCCAACAUGUAAGGUAGCAUGCAAGUACCUAAGCAUGCUUAGGGAAUAACAGCACAAUCCUACUUAGUUUACUUUAUAACUAUUCCCACUGUGUUUAAUAGGGCUUCCUCCCAGGUUAAAGGUAUUUAGGAUUUAAAUCCCAUUGAAUUAUCCUCUACUAAUUGGGCAAAGAAGCACCUUUCAAAGUGGUGCUUGUUUGUAUUCAGCAUGGGGAGAUCAGCUCUUCCUCUCUGUCCCAGCAUAGCAUUCCUCCCAGUCACUAUUGCUUGUGUUUCUCUUGUAUAUAUGUAGUGAUCAGACUCCCCGCUAAAGAGUUAAGAGGGAGUGAACCCUUGUCUUGACGGACACGCUGCUGAAUUCCAGGGCAGCCAAUCAGUACACCAGCAUUAUGGACUGCUCAAGGGCUAUCCUACCUAGGGAUGAAAGCCAUCCUACCUAAGAUGUUGCAAAAGACUCUCUAAACAUUUAAGCGUGCAUAAUGACAACCUGUUUUUAACUGUAUGUAAAAGAUGAGAAAGCCACAGAUGGGAGCAGUCUGUAGUAAUUGAAUAAAACUGGGGGGUGGUGUUCUUUUCUUUUCUUUUUUUACAAACCUCUCUGAGUUAGUUUUUAACUUGGGAAAAGGAGGGGGUAAGGGGGCUGUUCUCUGGUGCAAACACAUCCUCAAAUGUUCAGAAGCUAUCAGUUUUCUCAUCACAUGUAGGCUUGGACAUGGAAGGGUUUUUUUUACUUAAACAAUAGCAAAAUAGUUUUCCCUGGGAUUCCACCCCAAGCCCAGGAAGCUUCAAUCACUGCUGAUAAAGGGGGAGGGGAGCAUUUUGAACAUACAGAUUACAGGAUAAUUUUAGAAGAAGCCUAGCCAGGCAGCUCAAGCAGGGAUGAUUCAGCAUUUCUUUCCCUCACAUGAGCUUGCUCUGAGACAAAGGCUUUAAUCCACUACAAUAUACAUAUAUUUUAGAUUCUGAAUUCCUUUUAGACAGGGGCCUGUGUCUUUCCUUUUGUUAUGCAAACCACUUUGAGAACUUUAUUUUCUUGAAAACUUGUAUAUUAAUAAAAUCUCAUUACAGUACUGGAAAUAGUUUGUCUCAAUAUUUAAACUGGAUUACUUAAAUCCAAGUACACUAGUGUAAUUUGAUUGUUUUUAUGCCUUUUUAAAAGUGAUGUUAUAAUAAAAUAAUUUAUACAAUG